This 542-nucleotide ribosomal RNA is filed under the name uncultured delta proteobacterium. Its description in RNAcentral is "bacterial SSU rRNA". It matches the Rfam family "Bacterial small subunit ribosomal RNA", at positions 9 to 523 of the family's 1533-position model. The record is from RNAcentral. Lineage: Bacteria; Deltaproteobacteria.
GAGUUUGAUCAUGGCUCAGAAUGAACGCUGGCGGCGUGCUUAACACAUGCAAGUCGUACGAGAACGCUCUAGCUUGCUAGGGCAAGUAAAGUGGCGCACGGGUGAGUAACGCGUGGGCAAUCUACCUUCGAAUUGGGGAUAACGUUGCGAAAGCGACGCUAAUACCGAAUAAUAUCCAAUUAUCUUCGGAUUUUUGGAUCAAGGGUGGCCUCUUCUUGAAAGCUACUGUUUGAAGAUGAGCCCGCGUACCAUUAGCUUGUUGGUGGGGUAACGGCCUACCAAGGCAACGAUGGUUAGCUGGUCUGAGAGGAUGAUCAGCCACACUGGAACUGACACACGGUCCAGACUCCUACGGGAGGCAGCAGUGAGGAAUUUUGCGCAAUGGGGGAAACCCUGACGCAGCAACGCCGCGUGAGUGAUGAAGGCUUUCGGGUCGUAAAGCUCUGUCAAGUGGGAAGAACCUAUGCAGUGUUAAUAUCACUGUAUACUGACGGUACCACUGAAGGAAGCACCGGCUAACUCCGUGCCAGCAGCCGCGGUAA